GAAAGGUUCCAUGUGAACG
Molecule: small nuclear RNA, 19 nt
Filed under: Arabidopsis thaliana (thale cress)
Lineage: Eukaryota; Viridiplantae; Streptophyta; Magnoliopsida; Brassicales; Brassicaceae
Description: snRNA_04037
Source: RNAcentral